RNAcentral lists this ribosomal RNA (1458 nucleotides) under uncultured bacterium. RNAcentral's name for it is "bacterial SSU rRNA". It matches the Rfam family "Bacterial small subunit ribosomal RNA". The record is from RNAcentral.
AACAAACGCUGGCGACGUGCUUAACACAUGCAAGUUGAACGAGAAAGUUCCUUCGGGAAUGAGUAAAGUAGCGAACGGGUGAGUAACACGUGAGUAAUCUACCCCUAGGUGGAGGAUAUCUUUGGGAAACUGAAGUCAAUCCUGCAUGGUCUCGAAAGAGUAAAGGUGGCCUCUUGCUGCCGCCCAGGGAUGAGCUUGCGGCCUAUUAGCUAGUUGGUGGGGUAAAUGCCUACCAAGGCGAUGAUGGGUAUCCGGCCCGAGAGGGUGUACGGACACACUGGGACUGAGAUACGGCCCAGACUCCUACGGGAGGCAGCAGUGGGGAAUAUUGUGCAAUGGGCGAAAGCCUGACACAGCGACGUCGCGUGAAGGAUGAAGGUCUUUGGAUUGUAAACUUCUGUUAUGCGGAAAGAAAGACCGUUGGUUAAUACCCAGCGGGGAUGACGGUACCGCAAGAGAAAGCCCCGGCUAACUUCGUGCCAGCAGCCGCGGUAAUACGAGGGGGGCAAGCGUUGUUCGGAUUUACUGGGCGUAAAGGGUGUGUAGGUGGUACUCUAAGUUAAACGUGUAAUCUUGCAGCCUAACUGCAUGCUUGCGUUUAAAACUGGAGAACUAGAGGCUGGAAGAGGGAAAUGGAAUUCUCGGAGUAGCGGUGAAAUGCGUAGAUCUCGAGAGGAACACCAGUGGCGAAGGCGGUUUCCUGGUCCAAGUCUGACACUAAUACACGAAAGCGUGGGGAGCAAACAGGAUUAGAUACCCUGGUAGUCCACGCCGUAAACGAUGAUCACUAGAUGUGCGGUCCUUUCGGGGAUUGUGUGUCGAAGCUAACGCGUUAAGUGAUCCGCCUGGGGAGUACGGUCGCAAGAUUAAAACUUAAAGGAAUUGACGGGGGCCCGCACAAGCGGUGGAACAUGUGGUUUAAUUCGACACUCCGCGAGGAACCUUACCUAGGCUUGACAUGCAGUUGUACGCCUCUGAAAGGAGGUUUUCCGAGCUUGCUCGGACGUCUGUACAGGUGCUGCAUGGCUGUCGUCAGCUCGUGUCGUGAGAUGUUGGGUUAAGUCCUUUAACGAGCGCAACCCUUGUUGCUAGUUGCCAUUCUUAAGUGAGGCACUCUAGUGAGACUGCCUGGGGAACCAGGAGGAAGGUGGGGAUGACGUCAAGUCAUCAUGGCCCUUAUGCCUAGGGCUACACACGUGUUACAAUGGCUAGUACAAAGAGAAGCGAACCCGCGAGGGUAAGCGGAUCUCAUAAAACUAGUCUAAGUUCGGAUUGAAGUCUGAAACUCGACUUCAUGAAGUUGAAAUCGCUAGUAAUCGCGUAUCAGAACGGCGCGGUGAAUGCGUUCCCGGGCCUUGUACACACCGCCCGUCAAACCAUGGGAGUUGUUUGUACCCGAAGUCGAUACGGUUAUCCGUAAGGAGGCCGUCGCCUAAGGUAUGGAUGGCGACUGGGGUU